UUUGUGAACGAUGAAAACACCAUUUGCAUAGUUCACUCCGAAAAAUAUUAAUGUGGAACACUAGCAUCUUACGUCUUUCGCUCCUAUCUGAUUCUCCUC
The sequence is a small nucleolar RNA, 99 nucleotides long. It matches the Rfam family "Small nucleolar RNA snR60/Z15/Z230/Z193/J17". Rfam says of the family: The members of this family belong to the C/D class of snoRNAs which contain the C (UGAUGA) and D (CUGA) box motifs. Most of the members of the box C/D family function in directing site-specific 2'-O-methylation of substrate RNAs.